Molecule: long non-coding RNA, 650 nt
Organism: Pan troglodytes (chimpanzee)
Lineage: Eukaryota; Metazoa; Chordata; Mammalia; Primates; Hominidae
Exons: 2
Source: RefSeq, a predicted model, not a curated record
ACCUUGGUAAGGGUCUUGAGUAACCUGAUUAGCAGCUUCCUGGGAACAGCAGACACCUGAUCACUUCCUGGGAAAACAUUUAAUUAUUAACUCCCGGGGAGAGCCACCAGGCAAGGCAGAAGGCGCAAGUCCCACCUGCAUUUCAGACAAACAACAAAGACACUUUACUGCAUGUCCCAAAUAAUUGCACGGGACAUUCUUAUACUAAAAAACUCUCUGCUGUUCAUCUGAAAUUCAGGCAGAACUGGGUGCACUGCGUUUUAUCUGGCAACACCAUGGGAGAGCCAGGGGGGCUGGGCUGAGUUCUCUAACCCCGUGAGGACCAGCACACCGGGAGGCUCCGCAGAGAGAAUGAAAGCAAAGCCGAAGACGCAAUCUGAAAUCCUGGCUUCCCCAGGAAAAGCCAGUGCCAGGGUAGCUACUAAUGAGGAGAAAAGAAAAUCAUCACAGUCAAAGCAAGUUCAACAAAAACAGCAUUUUGCUGCUAACUUGCUCCAAGAAAACCUAAAAUCUUCAACUGGCUCAUUCGUCCUCCAGUACCUCUGAUGAAAAGGUAGACAGACUUUUCCACUAAUUAUUUCAGCCACUGUGAAAAUAUGAGAGCUGACCUGGGAGAGAAGAUACAUAAUAAAAACAAACAAAAAACCUCA